RNAcentral lists this ribosomal RNA (57 nucleotides) under Protoparmelia oleagina. RNAcentral describes it as "partial large subunit ribosomal RNA". The record is from RNAcentral. Lineage: Eukaryota; Fungi; Ascomycota; Lecanoromycetes; Lecanorales; Parmeliaceae.
GAUUGACCUCGGAUCAGGUAGGGAUACCCGCUGAACUUAAGCAUAUCAAUAAGCGGA